This 1095-nucleotide long non-coding RNA is filed under the name Monodelphis domestica (gray short-tailed opossum). Its description in RNAcentral is "lncRNA (ENSMODG00000044305.1)". Lineage: Eukaryota; Metazoa; Chordata; Mammalia; Didelphimorphia; Didelphidae. The record is from RNAcentral.
AUGCCGUCACCGACAUCGCCAGGGCCAAGCUCAGCCCUCUGGGCCCGGGGAACCUGCGCCCAAGCAGGGCCGCUUCGGGCCACCCUCGAAGCCCUUCUGGGGCCUCUCCUGGGCCCUGAUGGCUGCCCUCAUUGUCACUCUCUCGUUCUCGAUGAUGGCUGCUGGCUGCCCUUUCCUCCCCGGCUCAGGUGGAGGCAGUCGGGGUUCCGUGGCUUGUCCAGGGUCCCUGCUAGGGUUUGGGCUCGACUGGAGGGAAGAGGAGGCUGCCUGAGGCCAGGCCAGGCGCUCGAUCCUCCUGCUGCCCUUCCUUUGGAGAGGAGGGUUUCCGGGCGCCGAUCGCCACUUUUCAGGGUACACGACUGGCCCGUUUUUAGACGGAAGAGCUCGAGGAAGGGCCCGUCCCUGCAGACGUCGUCCGUGCGGGAGGCGGCGGCAGGGAGAGCGGCCGAAUGGGGCAGAGCCCGGCACCGGAGGCUGCUGAGCCAGCUUGGCGGGGCCUCUCAAACUCCGAGAAGUCCACCUUCCCCGAGCCUCGGUGGCUCCCACCUGCCUUCCUUCUCUGGAGCCUCGCCCCACGCGCAGAAAUGGGUGCCGGAGGAGGGACGCCAGAUUGGGUGCUGCUCCCUGGCUCUAGGCAUGAGUUGGCAGGCGGGGAGGCCCUCUGAGCCUGGGCUCCGUGGGGGGGCACAAGCUGGCCCUCCCUGGCCCCCCAAGAGCACCCUUCGGCUGGACCCUCGGGUCUGGGUCAUCUCAUCGUGGGAUGCUGGCAGGCUUAGGGGAGGCUGCCAUGGGGAGCUUCAGUUUGCGAUGGAGCUGCCAGAGCGAGCCGGGGGGUGGGGGGUGGGGGUGGGGGUUCUGCACCGCUUGGCAGCCCGUGGCAGGCAGGACCCGAGGCUGAGGCUUGGCCAGACAGAAUCAGUGACCGCUCGGACAGAAAAGCAGAGAAGACGCCCAGAGGCUUUCGUGGUCGCCACCUCCACCAGGAAGGCUGCUCAUAGCAGGAUGAGGAAGAAGCAGAGGGAGCGAAGGCAGGCAGAGGAGAGGCCGAGCGGCCCCGUGUCCCCGGAGAGCCCGGGGAGGCAGAUGAGAGACUGA